Molecule: long non-coding RNA, 5562 nt
Filed under: Marmota monax (woodchuck)
Lineage: Eukaryota; Metazoa; Chordata; Mammalia; Rodentia; Sciuridae
Source: RNAcentral
AAAAAGUAAGGAAGAUAAUGUCCAGGGGCUUCUAAUUGUAGCUGAUGUCUUCCCCUUAGAUACUGUCUGAGAAGCUUUGUGGGUACAGGAUAGUUAUCACUGCUGGUAGUUUUUCAUUAGCUUUCUUGGUUAGUGAGUGUUUGUGCUUGUAAUCAUCACCAAGUACUGAGUAUAUGUGUCACCAUUAUACAUUUUUUUUCUCUUCUAGUUUUUGUCUUUUCUAUUCUUUCUCCCCUGCUGAGGUCAAAAGCCAGUGGUGUAGAUGUGGAGCAAGAUGGGAAAUACCUGUUGGCAUUGCUUGGCCUCUCCACACUCAGAUAUCAUGAUCAGUAGGAUUGACCAGGCAUUUCUUGCUCAGCUGACCCAUGACUUUCCAGUGUAAACUCUUCUCUUGCUAUAAAUGACAAAAUGUCAUCUCAAUUCUUACCUUGCUAAUAACAGUCUGACUCCCUGAAAUUCAGUUGUUGUUUUGUAGUUAUCUUCUUUAUCAAGAGGCUCCAUGGAGAGCUGGAAAUUGUAAAUGUUCCUAAAGUAUCAAUAUAUCCCAUCUUCCCUUUUCUACAUAAGACUAUUUAGCCCCCACUUAGCUUGUGUGUUCCCUGGUUCACUCCACCCAAAGUGGACUCAUGAAUAGGGUUCUCCCCUAUUGAUAUUUAUUCCACAGGAUCUAACCAGACAGCAGUUUCAUUGUAGCUCAGGUGGGAGUUGUUCUCAGUGAUGUAGUAAGGCCUUGUCAUAGUUGCAGAGUAGCAGCUGCUCAGAUGAUUCCACCUCCUAAGGGGACCUUUUAUAAUGGUAUUGCUCACCACAGUGGGUGUUCUUUGAAAGACUAGAAGAAACCAUGUUCAAUUUAAACAAAACUUUUUUGACAUUUUAAGGUUACUGGUUUGCUGCCUCUUUCCCCAGGAAAAGGAAGUUGAAGUACAUCUUCCCUGUGAAGAAUCUGGAUGGAGUUGUGCAUUUCUUUCUUUCUUUUUUUUAAGUGCAUUUGUUUCUGAUGAUUUCCAGAAAGAGAGUUGUAUUAUGCACAUAAGCUGUUGACCAGCACCAAAGGAAAAGAAAGAAUUGUUACAAUAGCAUUUUCCCUGCUGUUGUAAUCUUCCAUUUCUUUCUUCUUUCAGAUUUAAAAUUCAUCUUUCAAGAAGACUUUGGUUUGGGCAGCCUGCCCCCCAACCCCCUGUAGGAGGUCUCCCUCUUGAAAUGAGAAAAGGCUCUGUGCCCAGGUCCCAUCUUGCCACAGCUUGACUGCCUGUUGCUGGCCUGAUGAAGGUUAUAAGAAACAUCAUACCUUCACAGUCUCUCCAGAUGUAUUCAUUGUCAUAAACGUUGCACUUCAAGCCAGUUAUUUGAUUUAUGUCAUUAUACUUUGAAUCUACCUGAUAGUAAUUGUCAGGGAUGAUGGUAUGCACCCAGUAGCAGCCUUUAAGCCACCUGUAUAUAUAUUUGAAUUUCACAGUUUGGUGGUAAUCCUUUCUUCUUUUGAUACUUGGAGUUUCAGGCUAUUAAAAUUACAAUAAACUCUUGAGGUACUUUAGAUGCUCUUCUGCUUCAGUUUACAUGUUUUAUUACACUAUCUUGUUUGUGUUUACCAACAGGAUUACAAGAAUAUGUAAUGUCUGGCAAAGCAAAUAGGAAGUAAAGUAAAAGUAUCUUGCUCAGCUUAGCCUAUCACUGCUUCUUCCCCAAGUCAAGCAUGCCCUUUAAACUUUAAUGGUUAACAAUUACCCGGAGACCUGUUUUCAGGAAAAUGUAUAAUCAAUUCAUUUGAUGGAAACAUUUUUGACUAAGAUGAUAUGUUUUUAUCCUAGUUUUCCUUGAAGCUGUUAAGUAUUUGGAGAUAUAAAUUUGAAUAAAUAGAAUAUUUAUGCAGCUCAAUAUGAGUUUUAUAAAAGAUGGUCUAUGAGAUCAGGUAUUAUGACACACUUAGUAUAAAUUUGGUUAUGUCUUCUUUUAGAGCAAUUAAGUGAUGGCAAGUUUUCCUAAAUAGCAUAAGAGCUGGUUGAGUUGAUAUUUGGAGUUUAUUGUAAUUUCUUGCCAAUUUUGUUUCACACUUAGUAACAUAGGGAAAAAGAGAUGUUAUACAGGUCAAUUGUAAUAUGUGGAUUCUUCUCCAGGAUCGAAAGAGUCAAAGAGGAACCACUUGGUUUACCAUGGGUCUGAAGUACUUUUGAACUUUUAAAACCAUUUAAUUAAAGUGGUUUCAAUUAUUUUCCAAGUCAUUUUUGUGUCUUAUUCUGUUAAGAAAAAGUAGUUAAUGUUUUUGAUAGUUUAUCAGAAUUUGUCAGAUUUUUCUGGUUUUAUAAAUAAUUAUGCUGAUUUACUAGGAGGAGGUUGGGGGAUUUUAGAACAGUUGCUUUCAAGUAGUGAUGGAUUUGAAGCAUUUUUUGAAAAUAUCUUUAAGUUUUUGUAGGUUGAUGAGAUAAUGUACACUUGACUGUUAUGUGAUCAAACUUUUAUUGCUCUUCUGUUUAUUUACUGGUGAGUUUAGAUGAGUUUUCAACUCUAAACGAGGAUAAUACUACUCUCUCAUAGGGAUGUUUGUGGUCCAAUAAUUAGGGUCCAGCCAAAUAGUAGUGGUUGUCAUGUUAAUAUUUCAGUUUAGGAACUUACUGGUCAUUCAGGGAAUCCCUGAAAAGAGUAGACAGAGGUGCAUGUGUUCACUCGGGUGUUUGUUGUGAGCUAGCCAUUGGGCUGAACCCUUUAACUGCGAACUCAUUCUCCCAUUAGUCCUGUGAGAUAGGCGCUUUUCUCUUCUUCUAGCUACACAUGAGAAGAUGAAAUCACACAGGGGUUGCCAUUGCUGUUAAGUGGGAAGUCAGGAUUGAAAGCCAGACAGUCCAAUCUGGAGCCUGUGUCCCUAACUCUCCCUAUAGACUGCCUUACACUUGGGCAUGCCCAGGAGUCUCUAGGUGGAGUUCAAGUUCAGUCCUGCUCAGGGUUGAUUUUAAAAGCUGAUUGACCAGUCCAGUCCUGAGGAAAUCUCCCUGUCCCUGAUUCCUUGGCUCCCUAGUGGAUACAAUCCCCAAAGUGUUCUUGUGUGGGUUUAGUCCCUCAUUCACCCCUUAUUUCGCUUACCAUGGACACCCUUUGAACACACCAGUUGGUGUUCAUGGUGGGCCAUAGAUCAUGGCCAAAUGGGCUGGUGGUUUUAAAAAUACUACAUUCAAUAUAGGAGAAAAGGUGGACGGGUUCACUUCCUCUUGAAGGAGUGGAUUUGGGGGCUAAGAUGGGCAGGCCUCAGAGACCCGGUUAGUGGUUUUAGGAACUCUUAGUAGCAUUUUGCUUACUUUCUAUCCUUGGAGAUAUAAUCCCAAGAUAAAAUCACUUUCUAUAGUCGAUUUAUAAAAGAUUACCUUGCAAAAUAACUUUAUGUUAAAACCUACUGAUAGUCUCUAAUCUGUGGCUUAUGGUUAGGGUCAGAUGUUGAACAACCUGUACCUGCUAUUUAGAAAAAAGAAAAAAUCCUGGAGGCUGGGGAGGGAGAGAAUGAGUGUGUCAUUGCUAUCAGAGUUCACUUUUGGCUCUCCAUACCCAGUUUGUGUGAGGCAUGUUAUUAGGAUCUGAGGAUCCUAAUGUGUUUCUUCCAAAGCCAAAUUAAGUAAUUUUUAUCAACCCACUGCUAAUGUGUGAACUCCUUAGGAGUCCUAAUUGCUUAUUACUGCUUCUGUAUCAUUGUAUGUAGUAGAUGUUAAAUGAAUGUUGGUUAGAUCAGUAAAUGGAGACAUUUUGUUAAAUUAAUGAAAGAGUAUUAGUUUAGCUACUCUCUUAUUUCCAAUUUCUUAUUGGACUUUCAAAACACACCCAUAACCACCAACUAUCAGAGACAGUUUUUCAUCACUUUUCUGGCAUGUGUGAGGCACUGGGUUCGAUUCUCAGCACCACAUAUAAACAAACAAACAAACAAAUAAAUAAAUAAAGUUCCAUCUACAACAAACAUUUUAAAAAGAGGGGGUGGUGGAAUUGAGCUGUUACAUUUUGAACAACAGUAUGAAAAAGUGAAGUGCUUGUGACAGCAAAGGAAACAAUGAGCUCUGAUAAUUCCUAGUCUUCAUCACAACUGCCAUGGUCAUACGUUGCUGGAAUCUGUUUCUUCUAUCAGGCUUAGAGUCUGGGUGCCAGGUGAUUGCUGUGAAUGCAUUGAGCGAUUUUGGAUUUGGAAGUAUAGAGAGGUUGUUAAAAGAAGUGUUAGAAGGGUUUUUUUGUUUUUUUAAUUACUGUAGGUAGCACAAAUUCAAAACUGUACUGUCUUCCAAAAAUUCCUAAGGAGGAAAUCUUAUCUUCACACAGUUUGCUGUAAUUCUGCUGGAGUGAGCCGUAGUUGCUUAGUACAUUUGAAUACCUAAGAUUUCUUCAGUAACUUAUUGUCUAUAGUUUGCAGUUUAAUUUUGUUACCAGUCUCUGGACAAUAGUUUGUUUUUUUUUUCCAAGAAAGAUUAUUAUUUGUAAAUGUGUUCAGCCAUUGUGACAUGUGGCGCUUAUUAAACGUAAUAAGAGGAAGCCCUCAUGCACCAAGUGUGGAAGCUCUUUCCGGCUCUGCAGAGCCUGGUGAAUGGCACUUCCUUAUUUGUUUUGGGCUAUCUCUAUAGAGGGGCAUGGCCAGCUUCAUUUUGCUUAUGUGGUAGUUACUGAAAUAGCAGGAAAUGGUGUGAACCCUAAUGCACUGUUGAUCCCUCGAGGACCUGAGUCUGUGCAUUCCUGGUCCUAUGAAAUUGAGUGAAAUUGGUUGAAUUUUCUGAAAUUCCUGUUAGUGGAAAAACUACUACAGAAGUAUGUGGGACAAGAAAGAGAUUUUUAAGGGCACAGUAUGUAUAUUAAGUUGUGAGCUAAGUGAUUUACCAAAAUAUUGGUUCAUAAUGUUGGCAGUGUCUUCAGUGCUUCUUCUCAGUUUUUAAAAUUUUAUAUUGAGAUAAAGUAUCACAAUUUUAACCAUUUAAAAAUAGACAAUUUAGUGUAUUUUAGUAUAUUCACAAUGUUAUGCAACCAUAACUGCUGUGUAAUUCCUGAACAUGUUUAUGGUCCCCCAAAUAUACCCUGUACCUAUUAAGAACUCAUUCUCUUCCCUCCCCUGAAAAUUUGGCAACCACUAAUUUGUGUCUGGAUUUUCCUAUUCUGUAUAUUUUAUGCAAAUGAAUAACUUGAAAAAUAAAUAGUAUCUAACUCAUUCUUUGACUAAGUUCAGCUUAUUAAUGGCUCUGAUGUUCUCAUUAACCACCCCCAUGCUGUAAUUAAAUGGUUAUUAAGUAAACAUAAGAAUUUUACUUAAGUAGCAGGUAUUUUCUUUUUUCUGGACGAAGUCAUUUUUGAUAAUGAAAUCUCAGUCCUUGUCCCACACAACUAUCCAAUAAUGAGGACAAGGUUUUGAUAAAAAGGGAAAAGCUGGUGUGGUGGUGCACACCUGUAAUCUCAGUGACUCUGGAGGCUGAGGCAGGAGAAUUGCAAACUGGAGGACUGCCUUAGCAACUUAGUGAGAUCCUGUCUCAAAACAAAAAAUUAAAAGUUCUAGAGAUGUGACUCAGUGGUAGAGUAUCCCUGGGUUCAAUCCCUAGUACCCUCCCCACCCCC